Molecule: ribosomal RNA, 507 nt
Filed under: Amphorophora rubi
Lineage: Eukaryota; Metazoa; Arthropoda; Insecta; Hemiptera; Aphididae
Description: partial 16S ribosomal RNA
Source: RNAcentral
AUUAAGUUUAAUUUAAUAUAGGAUCUGCUCAAUGAUUUAUUAAAUAGCUGCAGUAUUUUGACUGUGCAAAGGUAGCAUAAUAAUUAGUCUUUUAAUUGAGGACUUGUAUGAAAGAUUUGAUGAGAAAUAAACUUUAUUAUUUAUAUAAUUAAAAUUUUAUUUUUAAGUAAAAAAGCUUAAAUUAUUUAAAGGGACGAUAAGACCCUAUAAAACUUUAUAAAUAUUAAUUUUAAUUUUUUUGGUUUUAUAAAUAUUUUAAUUUUGUUAUUUAUUUUAUUGGGGUGAUAAAAAAAAUUAUUAAACUUUUUUUAAAAUUUUACAUUAUUUAAUGAAUAUUUGAAUUAAAAUUUUUAAUUAUAGGAAAAAGUUACUUUAGGGAUAACAGCGUAAUUAAUUUUUUAAGUUCAAAUUUAAAAAUUAGUUUGCGACCUCGAUGUUGAAUUAAGAUUAAUCUUGGGUGCAAAAUUUCAAGUAUUAGGUCUGUUCGACCUUUAAAUUCUUACGUGA